CCCCCCUACACACACACACACACACACACACAUUUACGAAUCAAAUUCGAGGUCUGAUAUUCGUAAAAGUUCCCUCCCUGGUCGAUGGCUCUUGUACAACUCACGCUAAAUAUAAAUCUGUUUUCAAAACUCUUAUCACUUUACUGUAUCGACCGACGGAAAGAAAAUCGGUCUAAAUUGCUAUAUGCUCUACGUAUAUGCUGGAC
Molecule: non-coding RNA, 206 nt
Organism: Cinara cedri
Lineage: Eukaryota; Metazoa; Arthropoda; Insecta; Hemiptera; Aphididae
Source: the annotation of a GenBank genome assembly